Molecule: long non-coding RNA, 206 nt
Filed under: Elaeis guineensis (African oil palm)
Lineage: Eukaryota; Viridiplantae; Streptophyta; Magnoliopsida; Arecales; Arecaceae
Description: long non-coding RNA (EGUI_LNC065267)
Source: RNAcentral
AAUUUAUUAGAUUUAAAAGGUGUUUAAAUCUAAAAUAAAAUCUCUUUGUUAAUAAUUCUCAUGCAAAGAACCAUCAUAUUUUUGUCUGAAAAAUCUGCACAGUUUAAAAUUGAAAUUGUUUCAAUUACAUGAACCUGUUUAGAUUAGAUCUAAAGUAGUUUCAUGCUUAUUUUACUUGCAUUUUGAUUAUAAAUCAAACAUGCAAC